Molecule: ribosomal RNA, 526 nt
Filed under: Characidium sp.
Lineage: Eukaryota; Metazoa; Chordata; Actinopteri; Characiformes; Crenuchidae
Description: partial large subunit ribosomal RNA
Rfam family: Bacterial large subunit ribosomal RNA
Source: RNAcentral
AGAGGUCCUACCUGCCCGGUGACCCCAAGUUAAACGGCCGCGGUAUUUUGACCGUGCUAAGGUAGCGCAAUCACUUGUCUUUUAAAUGAAGACCUGUAUGAACGGUGAAACGAAGGCUUAACUGUCUCCCUCUUUCAGUCAAUGAAAUUGAUCUACCCGUGCAGAAGCGGGUAUAUAUAUACAAGACGAGAAGACCCUUUGGAGCUUAAGACAAAAGAUCAGCUAUGUUAAACCCCUUAACAAAAAUUGAGCCAAACAAAACAUUUCACUUUAGUCUAAUGUCUUCGGUUGGGGCGACCGCGGGGGAAAAAAAAGCCCCCAUGUAGAACCAGGGUGCUCCCUAAACUAAGAGAAACAUCUCUAAGUCACAGAACAUCUGACCUAAAGAUCCGGCAACACGCCGACCAACGAACCAAGUUACCCUAGGGAUAACAGCGCAAUCCCCUCCAAGAGUCCAUAUCGACAAGGGGGUUUACGACCUCGAUGUUGGAUCAGGACAUCCUAAUGGUGCAGCCGCUAUUAAGGG